This is a non-coding RNA of Callithrix jacchus (white-tufted-ear marmoset), 10230 nucleotides long. The record is from RefSeq and is a predicted model, not a curated record. Lineage: Eukaryota; Metazoa; Chordata; Mammalia; Primates; Cebidae.
UUACACAUCAGAUAUAUAUAUAUAUCUAUGUAUAUAUAUUUCAUUCUUUUAUACUUAAAAUUAAUUAGAAAAGAAGCAUACACAUUCCUGUCUUUCUUUUGGUUACUUCAGUAAAAAUGUCAGUGUUUCAGAAAAAUCAGUUCCUUCUUAUUUAUGGAAGAGUUUAUCAGAGCAUAAAAAUAUCUAUUGUUUAUAUUGCUGUAGAAUAUAUGUUGGUAACUUUCAUACACCAUUGAGAAAUGGUUCCAACCACUUGCAUUCUGGGUUUAUUCAUGAAACACAUAAAGUUACUGCUCUAUAUUUUCUCCUUUCUUCUCCAUAGGGGCAAAAGGACUAUAAAUUUACCAUCUGCUCUAAGACUUUCAUGCCAUAAAGACUGCAGUUAAAACUAUGGUAAUAGCUCAGUUCAGACAAGAAUGAUACCUUAAUUUUCAUUUCUUAUAGGUUUCCAACAAUGUCCAGAGAUUGUUUGAGUCCUGAGUAAGGAAAAACAAACAAAAUAAAACAAUGCAAGGUUGGAACUUCAAGCAUGGAAUGGCUGGAUUCUCUGCUCAGAAACUCAUGAUGCGGCUGAAACCAAGCAGGGGCCUACAUAGUCAUGAAAUGGGUAAAGUGGAGGUUGUACACAUGUGCACUGAAGUGUUUCAGUGGUGGACGCCUCAUCUGAGUAGGCAGCAUCCAGCCUUGUCAGGUACUCAUCCAGCUAAAGAUUGUGUUCUUGCAAAAGAGAACCUGCAACUUCUGUCUCACCAUCAUCAAUCCAGGUUAAAGCCACUAUGAGAAGCCGAGGAAGGCAGUACCCACGUGGGGAGAGUGGAAGAGGAACCAUGGUGAGCAGACCCUAGCUGGCGUUAGAACUGGAGCACGAAGAAGCAAGCGUAUUCAUAGGCGGGCUGGUUAAUGCAGAGUCAGCUGGGAGACCGUGUUUGGAGAUACCCUGGCAGGAGGUUUGGAACCAAAGCAGGGUCAACAAAGAAGACAGCUGUAGAUGAAUGAAACUUCCAUCUCUGAAAAUCAGUGGUACAUGUUGAAGAACACAGUUAAACCUGGUGCUGUCAAUAUCCAUUCAUAAUACACUAUUGAAAGUGAAAUUCAAAAGAUAUAUGAAUGAAAAGACUAUACAAAGGAUGGCUACAGAAAAAAGGAGAAUGCAAAGAAUGUGAGGAAUUGAAAUACUAAUGAAAAAGGUGGGGAAUACUUACUUCUCUAUAAAAAUAUAUAUUAAUGUAGUUUGCCUGUACAUGUUAUCAUUCGAUGAUAUACCAAUUUCAUAGUCAUAUUUUUUCCUUAAAUUGUCAUUAUUUACCUAUCUAUUUUUUCAAUUUGGCUGAAAAAAACUUACAUUAGAUUUUAUAAUUCACUCUACAUCAGUUGUAGGCAGUGCUAAGAAUGAAAUCUAUCUAAUGUGCUUUAACGCUUCCAUCAUUGGACAUUCUGCUAAAUUUCUCACAUAAUAAUUCCUGUGGAAUCUUUAAUAGUGUUUCAACAAAAAUAUUCCUGAAGAUGCUCUUUUUCAAUGCCUCUAGAUUUUCUUCAAUAGCUAUAACCUCUGAUUUUUUUAUUUCCUCCAUCUCUGGUCUUCCAGGAAAUAAAUGUAUAGAACAUACCUUCCAAAAUUUUUUUAUAUUGCUCUACUGUCAAAAAGAUAAACUGUAUUAGUGACAUGAUUAAAAUUGAAGUUGCUAGAAUGUGUUUUUAAAAUGCUCAGUUUAACAGGCAGUCAUUAAAAUGUUCAUAUUAAUUAACAUCUCUGUAGAUUAUAAUAUACUGUAAUGGCAUUAAAUAAUCUAGGCUGGCAGCCAUGUUGAAUGAGUAAAUUCUCAUUUCAGCUACAUUUAAUUAAACAGAUUUCCCCAAAUAUAAAGUGUACAAGGAUCCAGAUUAGAAAGUUGGUAAUGAUUAUUUUCAUGAGAUCCCAUAGGAAGUAUGAGAUGACAUUGACUAUUGGCAUUUUAAAAGGUUUCAAAGAAAGAUUGCUAGAAUUUAUUCCUGGGAUGCAAGGAUGAUUCAACAUACAUAAUCAAUUGAUGUGAUGCAUCAUAUCAAAAGAAUAAAGGAUAAAACCAUGUAAUCAUUUCAACUGAUGUGAAAAAGCAUGUGAUAAAAUUCAGCAUCCUUCAUUAUGAAAUCCUGAAAAAACUGGAGAUAGAAGAAACAUACCUCAACAUAAUUAAAAGCCAUAUAUGACUAACCCAGAGCUAGUACCACACUGAAAAAUGGAAAGUGUGGUACUAGCUGUGGGUUAGUCUAGUUUCCCAAAAAUGGGGAAAAAAUGGAAAUCCUUUCUUUUAAGAACUAGAACAUGACAAAGAUGCCUAUUUUUACCACAGUUAUUCAACACAGUACUGGCAGUCCUAACUAGAGCAAUCAGUCAAGAGAAAGAAAGGACAUCCAAACUGAAACAAAAGAAGUCAGAUUAUCCUUGUUUGUAGACAUGAUCUUGUAUUUGGGAAAACCUAAAGAUACCAACAUAAAUACUAGAACUAAUUUUAAAAGGUCAGUAAAGUUGCAGCAUAUUAAGUAAAAAGUCAGUAGCAUUUCUAAAUGCCAACAGUGAACAAUCUAAAAAAAAAAAUUAAAUAUCUCACUUAAAAUAGCCACAAAAAAAUUACAUACCCAGGAAUUAACCUAAGCAAAAAAGUGAAAGUUCUCUAUAAGGAAAAGUAUAAAAAACUAAAGAAAAAAACUGAAGAGGACACCAAAAAAUGGCAAAGUAUUUCAUGUUCAGGGUUUGGAAGAUUAAAUAUUGUUAAAAUAUCCCUACUCCCCAAAGCAAUAUAUAGAUUCAAUGCAAUCCCUAUCGAAAUAAGAAUGACAAAUUCUGCACAGAAAUAAAAACCAAAAUCCUAAAAUAUAUGUGGAACCCCAAAAGACCCAGCAUAGCCAAAGAUAUCUUAGGUAAAAAGAACACAACUGGAGGAAUUAUAUUACCUUACUUUGAAUUAUAUUACAGAGGUAUAGUAACCAAAACAGCAUGGUACUGAAUAGUAAAAAAUAAUAAAUAAAUAAACAUAGACCAAUGAAACAGAAUAGAAAACACCGAAACAAAUUCAUGUAAGUUCAUCUGUAGCGAACUUAUUUCAACAAAGUUUCCAAGAACGUGCACUGUGGAAAAGACAGUCUCUUCAGUAAAUGGUACUGGAAAAACUGGAUCUCCAUAUGCAGAAGAAUCAAACUAGACAUGUAUCUCUCACCUUAUACAAAAGUGAAAUCAAAAUCAAUUAAAGACUUAAAUCUAAGGCCUCAACCUAUGAAACUACUACAAGAAAACAUUGGGAAAAAUCUCCAGGACAUUAGUCUUGGCAAAUAUUUCUUGAACAAUACCUCACAAGCACAGGCAACCAAAGCGAACAUGGACAAAUGGGAUCAAAUGAAGUUAAAAAGCUUCUGCUUAGAAAAGGAAACUAUCAACAAAGUGAAAAACAACUUCCCAUCUGACAAGGGAUUAAUAACCAGAGUAUACAAGGAACUUAAACAACUCUAUGGGGAAAACAUCUAAUAAAAGUGGGCAAAAGAUUUGAAUAAACAUUUCUCAAAAGAAGACAUACAAAUGGCAAACAGGCAUCUGAGAAGGUGAUGAAUAUCACAGCUCUCUAAGCAUUUGUGAGAAAGAUAUCUAAGAAUGGGAUAUCUUCUCACUCCACAUAAAAUGGUUUACAUUCAAAAGACAGAUGAUAACAAAUACUGGUGAAGAUGUGGAGAAAAGGUAAUCCUUGUACCCUGUUGGUAGAAUGUAACUUAGCACAAUCAGUAUGGAGAACAGUUUCGAGGUUCCUCAGAAAAUUAGAAAUUGAGUUACCAUAUGAUCUAGCAUUCCCACUGCUGGGUAUAUCCUCAAAAGAAAGAAAAUCAGUAUAUCAAAGAGAUAUCUGUGCUCCCAUGUUUCUUUCAGCAUUUUUCACAAUAGCUGAUAUUUGGAAGCAAUGUGUCUAUCAGCAGAAGAACAGAUAAAGAAAAUGUUGUUCAUAACACAAUGGAGUACUAUUAAGCCAUAAAAAGAAUUAGAUCCUGUCAUUUGCAACAACAUGGAUGGAAUUAGAGGUCACUAUGUUAAGUGAAAUAAUUCAAGCACAGACACAAACGUCACAUCUUCUCACUUAUUUGUGAGACCUAAAAAUCAAAACAGUUAAACUCAUGGACAUAGUAUAAGGAUAGUUACCAGUGGCUGGGAAGUGUAGUGGGGUGCUGGCAGAGACAGGUAGAGGUAGUUAUUCAUACUUUAGAAAGUAUGAAUAAGAUGUACUAUUUGAUAAUAUGACAGGGUGAAUAUAGUCAAUGAUAAUUUAACUAUACAUUUAAAAAUACCCAAAAGAGUACAUUAGAUUGCUUUUUACACAAAUGAUAAAUGCUUGAUGGGAUGAAUGGAUAUUCCAUUUUUUAUGUGAUUAUCUCACAUUGCACGCCUGUAUGAGAAUGAACAUCUCAGCUAUCCCAUAAAUAUAUACACCUAUUAUGUGCCCACAAAUAUUAAAAAUUGGAAUAUUUAAAAAGAAUAAUUAGUACAAAGAAAGACUGAUAAACACUGGAGAUCAGAAACCACAAAUUUAAACUGUAUCAUGGUUAGCUAGGCUCAAAAAAAAAAAAACAGGAAAAAAUAUGAUUGGUAGGAUUAACAAAAGGCUAUUAACAUAUAUGAUUCUACAGAAUAUAGAAACGUUUUAAAGAAAUAAGAUGGCUAAAUGUGCAGUUAGCUACAAUUGUGGUUGAAUAAAAAAUACUUAAAAAAAAGGAACUAGGAGCUAAAAUUAAAAGAGUAGCAUAUGAAAGAGUGAGAGUAUUUACAAGCUUGUGAAAGCCAAAGAACAACAGAGGUAGAAAUAAGAGAUUAAGAAAAGUAGAAAGUUAGGAAUUUGUUAUGAAGGUUCAAUGAGUUUUUUGAAAUUAUGUAAAACAUUACUGAUAUGGUUUGGCUGUGUCCCCAUCCAAAUCUCAACUUGAAUUGUAUUUUCCAGAGUUCCCACCAGUUGUAGGAGGUACCCAGAUGGAGGUAAUUCAAUCACGGGGGCCAGUCUUUCCCAUGCUAUUCUUGGCAGUGAAUAAGUCUCCUGUGAUUUGAUGGUUUUAUCGGGGGUUUCUGCUUUGCUUCUUCCUCAUUUUGUUUUGCCACUCUCAUGUAAGAAAUGCCUUUCACCUCCCACCACGAUCCUGAGGCCUUCCAGUCAUAUGGAACCGUAAGUCCAAUUAAACCUCUUUUUCUUCCCAUUGUUGUGUAUGUCUUUGGUACCAGUGUGAAAAUGGACUAAUACAGUUAUGGUAUAAUCAAAUUCUAGAUUGAGAUAUGACCAAAUGAGCAAAGGAGAGAAAGUUCUUGGAAGGUGUGGAAAACAGGACAUAGAAGUUAGAGUGGUAUUGAGACUAUGAAACAAACACAUUCAUUUCAUCAUCUACAAAGACAUAACAUGAAGUUUUGUCAUGAGUCUGCAAUGAACAAGUCUACUGAUGUCAUUUGUCUAAAAGUAUGGGCUCACUUCAUGGCUCUGUGUCACAUUUUGGUUUUCCAUCACAGUUUUUCCACUACUUGGAUUUCUAAUAAAUUGUCAGCUGUAAACAUGCAAAUAUCAUUGUGAUAAAGAGUAUCAUAUAAGGUAUGGAGACUAUUUACAUAACAUCUUUAGUCUAGUGAGGUUUUACUCCUUAAAUAACGUUCAUCACUAUAUUCCCUUCCCACCCUAUUUUCACACUAAUUUCUUUGCUGUUAUUUUCAUUAGAUAUCUGUAGUAGUACUCUUGGUUUUCUCACCUUUUCUUACCCUCUUCAUGCUUACUUUUUAGUAUUAUUUGAGAUAUAAUAUAAAUAUUAGCACAUUAAUUCAAUAUAGUGACUCACUCAUUUUUAUUUGUUUAAAUUUUUUGACAUGGAGUUUCCCUCUUGUUGCUCAGGCUGGAGUGCAGUGGCACAAUCUCCACAACCUGGGCCUUGCAGAUUCAAGUGAUACUCCUGCCUCAGCUUCCUGAGUAGCUGGGAUUACAGGCAUGGGGCACCACACCCAGCUAAUUUUGCAUUUUUUAUUGGAGAUGGGGUUUCUCCAUGUUGGACAGCCUGGUCUCGAACUCCUGACCUCACGAUCCAACCACCUUAGCCUCCCAAGGUGCUGGGAUUACAGGAAUGAGCCACUGUGCCUGGCCUUAUUUUAAUAAUUUUUUUUUUCAGAUUUUAAAAAAUUUUGGGGAUACAUAGUAGGUGUAUAUAUGUAUGGGACUACACAAAAUAUUUUGAUAUAGACAUGCAAAUUGAAAUAAGCACAUCAUGAGGAAUGGAGUAUCCAUCCCAUCAAGCAUUUAUUAUUUGAGUUAUAAACAAUCCAAUUACAUGUUUUAAGUUACUUUAAAAUGUAUGAUUAUCAAAUAUAGACACCCUGUUGUGCUAUCAAAUAGUAGGUCUUAUUCAUUCUUUCCAAAUAUUUUCAUUCCUAUUAACCAUCCUCUCCUCCCCCAUUUCCCAGGCCUCCACUAACUUUCUCCACCUCUGAUAAUCAUCAAUCUAUUCUCUAUGUCCAUGAGUUCAAUUGUUUUGAUUUUUAUAACCCACAAAUAAGUAAUAACAUGUGAUGCUUGUCUUUCUGAACCUGGCUUAUUUUACUUAACAUAAUGAUCUCCUGUUCCAUUCAUGUUAUUUCAGAUUACUGGAUCUCUUUCAUUUUUAUGGUUGAAUGGCACUUUAUUGUGUAUAUGUACUACAUUUUCUUUAUUCAUUCUUCUGUUAAUGAACAUUUAAGUUGCUUCCAAAUCUUAGCCAUUAUAAACAGUGCUGGACAAACAUAAAAGUGCAUAUAUCUCUUUCAUAUACUGAUUACCUUUAUUUUGUGUAUAUACCCAGCAGUGGGAUUGCUGGAUCUUAUGGGAGCUAACAUUGUAGUUCAUUAAGAAGACUCUAAAUUGUUUUCAUAGUGGAUGCAGUAAUUUACAUUCCCACCAACAAGGGUUCUUUUUUCUCCACAUCCUCACUGGCAUUUGUUACUGCCUGUGUUUUGGAUAUAAGCCGAUUUAACUGAGGUCUGAAAAUAUCCCAUUGCAGUUUUGAUGUGCAUUUCUCUGAUGGUCACUGAUGUUGAGCACUUUCUCAUAUGCCUUUUUGCCACUUGUAUGUCUUCUUUUGAGAAUUGUCUAUUCAUAUCUGUUGCCCAUUUUUUUUAGCAGAUUAUCAGAUUUUUUUCUAUAGAGAAGUUUGACCUCCUUAUAUAUUCUUGUUAUUAAUCCCUUGUCAGAUGGGUAGUUUGCAAAUAUUUUCACCCAUUCUGUGAGCUUCCUUUUGUUUAUUGUUUCCUUUGUUGUGCUGAAGCUUUUUAACUUGAUAUGAUCCCUCUGUCCAUUUUUGCUUUGGUUGCCAGUGUUUGUGGGGUAUUUCUCAAGAACUCUUGGCCCAGACCAAUGUCCUGGGAUUUCCCCAAUGCUUUCUUGUAGUAGUUUCAUAGUUUGAGGUAUUAGAUUUAAGUCUUUAAUCUAUUUUGAUUUGAUUUUUUUUUUGUAGAUGGCAAAUGCUAGGGUUCUGGUUUCAUUAUUCUGCAUGUGAUUUAUUCAAGAGACUUUUCCCUAGUGUAUGCUCUUGGAAACUUCCUUGAAAAUGAGUUCACUAUAGGUGUGUGGAUUUGUUUCUGGGUUCUCUACUCUGACUCAUGUGUCUGUUUAUAUGUGAGUACCAUGACGUUUUGGUUGCUAUAGCUCUGUUUUUUAAUUUGAAGUUAGGUAAUGUGUAUCCUUUUUUCUUUUUCUUCUUUUUUUUUUUUGCUUAGGGUAUCUUUGGCUCUUCUGGGUCUUUUGUGGUUCCAUAUAAAUUUUAGGAUUGUUUUAUCUAUUUAUGUGAAGAAUGUCAUUGGUAUUUUGAUGUGAAUUGCUUUGACUCUGUAGAUUGCUUUUGGUAGUAUGUACAUUUUAACAAUACUGAUUUGUUCAAUCCAUUAACAUGGAAUAUUUUUCUUUUAGUGUUCUCUUCAAUUUCAUUUAUCAGUAUUUUAUAGUUUCAUUACAGAGAUCUUUUUUUAAGUAUUAAUUUUGUAUGUGUCAAUUGUAAAUGGACUUUUUUUUAAUUUGUUUUUCACAUUGUUCACUGAUGGGAUAUAAAAAUGCUAUCAUUUUUGCAGGUUGAUUUUUCUGUCUUGGAACUUUACUGAAUAUUUUAUCAGUUCUAAUAGUUUUCUCGUGGACACUUUGGGUUUUUUUCCAAAUAUACCAUCAAUAUACAUUUCGAAACAGCGAUAAUUUGAUUUUUUCCUAUCCAAUUUGGAUGCAUUUAUAUCUUUGUUUUGUCUCAUGGAUCCAGCAAAAGGUUGAAUAACAAUGGAAACAGUGAGCAUCUCUGUCAUGUUCCAGAUCUUAGAAAAAAGGUUUUCAUUUUUUCCCCAUUUAAUAUGACACUACCUAUGAUUUUGUGGUACAUGGCUUUUAUAUGUUGAUGUACGUGUCUUCUAGCCCCAGUUUUUUGAGAGCUCUUAUCAGUAAUGGUACAGUAUUUUAUAAAGUGCUUGUUCAGCACCAAUUGUAAUGAUCAUAUAGUUUUUAUUUUUCAUGCUGUCUAUACGAUGUAUCACAUUGAUUGAUUUUCAUAUGUUGAACUAUCCUUGCAUCACAGGGAUAAAUUCCACUUGGUCACGAUGAAUAAUCCUUCUAACAUAUUAUUGAAUAUGAUUUGCUAGUAUUUUGUUGAUUUUCACAUCAAUAUUUAUCAGAGAUGUUGGCCUGUAGUUUUCUUUUCCUUUUUCUUCUCUUCUUCUUUUCUUUUCUUUUCUUUUUUUUUUUUAAUGUAUCUUUGUCUGGUUCCAGUAUCAGGUUAAUACUGGCCUUAUAGAAUGAGUUUGGAAGCAUUUCCUCCUCCUCAUAUAGUUUCAGUAGGAUUGGUAUUCGUUCUUUUUUAAGUGUUUGAUAGAAUUCAGCAGUGAGGUCAUCAGGUCUCAAGCUUUUUUUACUGGGAUGUUUUUUUAUCAUUACUUAAAUCUCCAGUUCAGAUACUGCGCUUCUCCCAUGGUCUUUAUAGCCCAUAGACCAGGAGAUUCCUGUUGCAUUGAAUCCCUGAAUUGAUGAAACUAUUCCAAACAACACAAAAGAUGGAAUCCUCCCUAACUAAUUUCAUGAGACUAACAUCAUCCUGACUCCAAAACCUGACAGAGACACAACCAAAAAACAAAAAAAUUCAGGCCAAUGUCCAUGAUGAACAUUGAUGCAAAAAUCUCCAAUAAAAUAUUGGCAAACUGAAUGCAAAAGCACAUCAAAAAGCUCAUCCAUCAUGAUCAAGUAGGCUUCUCCACAUUUUCAACAGAUACCAGGUUCAUCUCAAUGGGACUGGUUGGACAGUGGGUGUAGCCCAAGGAGAGCAAACCAAGGCAGGGUGGGGUGCUGCCUCACCUGGGAAGUGCAAGGGGCAGAGGACCCCCCACCUCCCCGCUCCCACUCAACAGAGGCCAUCGGGGACGUUACCAGCCAUUCCUCCGGCACUCCAGUUCAGAUACUGGCUUCUCCCAUGGUCUUUACAGCCCACAGACCAGGAGAUUCCCACUGGAUUGACAAGCAGGUCAGGUUUCCAGCAUAAAACUGCACGGCUGCUGUAGCUGGCACCCGAACACCUGUGAGACAGAGCCGCCCAUUCCCCUGAAAAAAAGGGGGCUGAAGGCAGGGAGCCAAGUGAUCUGGCUUGGUGGGUCUCACCCCCAUAAAGACCAGCAAACUGAAACCCAUUGGCUUGAGAUUUUCACAGCCAGCACAGCAGUUUGAGCUCAGCCUGGGACAGUCAAGCUUGGUGGGGGGAAUGGCAUCUGCCAUUACCAAGGCAGUUCUAACCUUACCUGUGUAAGCAAAAUUUCAGGAACUCUUUUAUAUGGUAUUUGCUUUUUUUCUCUUGCUUCUUUCCAGAUUUUUUUUUUGUCUUUGACUUUUGACAGUUUAAUUACACUAUGUCUUAAUAUAAUGUUAUUUGUAUUGAAGCUCAUCAGAGAUCUUCCUAUAUCUGGAUUAUUUACAUCUAUCUCUAGGUUUGGAAGGUUUCCCCUGAUUAUUUCUUUAAAUACGCUUUCUAUCGAUUUAUUUUUCUCUUCUCUUGAACUCCAAUGACUCAAAUACUUACUUGUUCAAUACUAUCCCAUAAAUCCUAUGAGCUUUCUUUUCUUCUAUGCAUUUUUAAAAUAUCAGUGUUAUAUUUUUUUCUUCUGCUUAAUCAUUUCUGCUGUUGAUACUUUCUGUAUUGCAUUUUCAUGUUUUCCAUUGUAUUAUUUAGCUCCGAUUUUUAUUUCAUAUUUUUAAAAUG